AUGAUAUAUAUGAGCUGGAACUGCCGGGGGCUUGGGAACCCCGAGGCAGUUCGUGAGCUUCGCAACAUUGUGAAGCUGGAAGGACCCACUCUACUCUUCGUAAUGGAAACCAAGAUUAAAGCAAAAAGAGUAGAGGAGUUGAGGUAUACUCUAGGUUUUGGAGGUUGCUUUGCUGUCGAUAGUGUCGGCCUUAGUGGCGGCAUCGGCUUGUUCUGGUCCCGCGAAGUAAAUGUUGAAUUAAAGAACUUUAGCAACUGUCAUAUUGAUGUUGUGGUUAAUGGGAAUGCUCAGAAUUCUUCUCCCUCAUGA
This 309-nucleotide ribosomal RNA is filed under the name Triticum aestivum (bread wheat). RNAcentral describes it as "partial small subunit ribosomal RNA". The record is from RNAcentral. Lineage: Eukaryota; Viridiplantae; Streptophyta; Magnoliopsida; Poales; Poaceae.